UACGUAGGGUGCAAGCGUUGUCCGGAAUUAUUGGGCGUAAAGAGCUCGUAGGCGGUCAGUCGCGUCUGCUGUGAAAACUCGGGGCUUAACUCCGGGCCUGCAGUGGGUACGGGCUGACUAGAGUGCGGUAGGGGAGACUGGAAUUCCUGGUGUAGCGGUGAAAUGCGCAGAUAUCAGGAGGAACACCGGUGGCGAAGGCGGGUCUCUGGGCCGUAACUGACGCUGAGGAGCGAAAGCGCGGGGAGCGAACAGG
This 253-nucleotide ribosomal RNA is filed under the name uncultured bacterium. Its description in RNAcentral is "partial 16S ribosomal RNA". It matches the Rfam family "Bacterial small subunit ribosomal RNA", at positions 524 to 776 of the family's 1533-position model. The record is from RNAcentral.